This 254-nucleotide ribosomal RNA is filed under the name uncultured bacterium. RNAcentral's name for it is "partial 16S ribosomal RNA". It matches the Rfam family "Bacterial small subunit ribosomal RNA", at positions 524 to 776 of the family's 1533-position model. The record is from RNAcentral.
UACGUAGGUGGCAAGCGUUGUCCGGAUUUACUGGGCGUAAAGGGUGCGUAGGCGGACAGGUAAGUCAGUGGUGAAAUCUCCGAGCUUAACUCGGAACUGCCGUUGAUACUAUUUGUCUUGAAUAUUGUGGAGGUAAGCGGAAUAUGUCAUGUAGCGGUGAAAUGCUUAGAUAUGACAUAGAACACCAAUUGCGAAGGCAGCUUAACUACACAACAAUUGACGCUGAGGCACGAAAGCGUGGGGGAUCAAACAGG